AGCCCACCCUAGCCCAACCACCCNNNNNNNNNNNNNNNNNNNNNNNNNNNNNNNNACACCAAACUAAAACAUUUUACCGUCUAAGUAUAGGCGAUAGAAAAGACGCCUGGAGCAAUAGACCCAUAGUACCGCAAGGGAAAGAUGAAAUAACAAUGAAAACUUAAGCAACAAACAGCAAAGACAGACCCUUGUACCUCUUGCAUCAUGAUCUAGCAAGAACAACCAAGCAAAAUGAAUUUUAAGCUUGCCCCCCCGAAACCCAAGCGAGCUACUCACAAGCAGCUACCCCCUGAGCAAACCCAUCUCUGUGGCAAAAGAGUGGGAAGACUUGUUAGUAGAGGUGAAAAGCCUACCGAGCUGGGUGAUAGCUGGUUGCCUGUGAAAUGAAUCUAAGUUCUUCCUUAAUUUCACCCUACAGACUCGANNNNNNNNNNNNNNGCAAAUUNAGAGUAAUUUAAAGGAGGUACAGCUCCUUUAAAAAAGAAUACAACCUCCCCCAGAGGAUAAGCACCAUCUUCAUGUACUUGUAGGCCCUUAAGCAGCCAUCAACAAAGAGUGCGUCAAAGCUCCCACCCCAAAAAAUCCAAAAACACAUGCGACUCCCUCACCAAUAACAGGCCAACCUAUUCAAAAUAGGAGCAUUAAUGCUAGAAUAAGUAACUAAGGAACUACCCUCUAAAGCACAAACUUACAUCCCACAUUAUUAACAGGCUCACUAAUACCUCAACCACUACAAGACNAGGUAUNNNNYAACUCUGUUAAACCAACCCAGGAGUGCUUAAUUAGAGAGAUUCAAACUUGUAAAAGGAACUAGGCAAACCCAAGGCCCGACUGUUUACCAAAAACAUAGCCUUCAGCAAACCAAGUAUUGAAGGUGAUGCCUGCCCAGUGACACUAAGUUUAACGGCCGCGGUAUCCUAACCGUGCAAAGGUAGCGCAAUCAAUUGUCUCAUAAAUCGAGACUUGUAUGAAUGGCCAAACGAGGUCUUAACUGUCUCUUACAGGUAAUCAGUGAAAUUGAUCUCCCUGUGCAAAAGCAGGAAUAAACCCAUAAGACGAGAAGACCCUGUGGAACUUAAAAACCAGCAGCCACUCUAAAAAAAUAAAAACCCACUGGGCCCACCACUAACAGACAACUGGCCUGCAUUUUUUCGGUUGGGGCGACCUUGGAGAAAAACCCAUCCUCCAAAGAUAAGACCACCCCUCUUGACCAAGAUCAACCACUCAACGUACUAACAGUAACCAGACCCAGCAUAGCUGACCAAUGAACCAAGCUACCCCAGGGAUAACAGCGCAAUCCCCUUCAAGAGCUCAUAUCGACAAGGGGGUUUACGACCUCGAUGUUGGAUCAGGACAUCCUAAUGGUGCAGCCGCUAUUAAGGGUUCGUUUGUUCAACGAUUAAUCAGUCCUACGUGAUCUGAGUUCAGACCGGAGCAAUCCAGGUCGGUUUCUAUCUAUGACUUAACCUUUCCCAGUACGAAAGGACCGGAAAAGUAAGGCCAAUACUCCAGGCAUGCCUUCCCCUAAAGUAAUGAACACAUCUAAAUUACCAAAAGGACCCCCAACACAAUCCUAAACAAGGACA
RNAcentral lists this ribosomal RNA (1586 nucleotides) under Canirallus oculeus (Grey-throated rail). RNAcentral's name for it is "16S ribosomal RNA". It matches the Rfam family "Bacterial large subunit ribosomal RNA", at positions 584 to 2830 of the family's 2925-position model. The record is from RNAcentral. Lineage: Eukaryota; Metazoa; Chordata; Aves; Gruiformes; Rallidae.